GUGAGGUCGACGAUGGUGUCCACGCCGCGCGACUUCAGUUCGUUCAGUCUGUCGAUGGCGUCGGCGACGCGACGUUCUUCGUCACCCCACGC
Molecule: transfer RNA, 92 nt
Filed under: Mycobacterium mantenii
Lineage: Bacteria; Bacillati; Actinomycetota; Actinomycetes; Mycobacteriales; Mycobacteriaceae
Description: tRNA-SeC
Source: RNAcentral